CGGAUAUAAAGAAAAUGAAUUUAUUUUUAAUUCCAACAAAAAUGAUUUACAAAAACAUUUGUAAAUGUAGUUAUUGAAUUUAUAUGCAUUGCAUAUUUAUUUAAUUUAGCAUUCAAGUAUUUUCACGAGCUAUUUAUUUAAGCAAACACUGAACGAUUAUUACAGUUUUCAUAGUACAACCCGGAAGACUUUUUAUUUUAUUCAAUCACCUAAUUUCUCCACCUAAUUUAUCCACCUACUCUUCCACCACUAAUUUUUUCUUUUCCCUACCACUAACUUAUUUUUAUCUAAUAAACAUGAGUGGAAGUGUGAUGAGUGAAGAUAGGAUUAGUGUGCUAAGGUGGUAGGGAACCAAGCUUUAAUCAUGAAUAAUGCUUUGUCCUUAAUCAUUCUUCCAUUGCAAGACAAAGCUCAUCACUUCACUCCCUCACACUUCAAUUCUCGGCCUCCCCUCUCUCUCUCUAUACUCUCUUUUCCUCUAUUGAUGUCCAUUGAAGAAAGCUUAGAGAAGCUUCAUCAAACACUACUAUGAGAUAAUCCACCAUCCAAUCCAAUCAAAUACUAUCAUAUCUCAUCAAAUUCAAGAAGCUAGAGCUAAGAUCAAAGUUGGAGCAAAGUCUUGAUCACCUUUUAAAUCCUUGAGUAAGUGAUCUUAGAUUAUUUAUUUGAUCAUAUUAAUGAUAUGUGAGUGAGUAUAUGAUCAUGAUUGAGCAAGAAAAUCACCCAAUUUAUUUUUAUGAAACUUUCGAAAAUUAGGAGCUUGAAACCCUACGAAUUUUGUUGUUUAUUUUCUUGACUUGGCUUGAGUUAUAUGAUGAUGGAUUUGAGUUUAUGAGAUGAUCUAGAUGAUUAAUGAUGGAUGAGAUUGAAGCUUGAGGUUGAGAAGUGAAAAAUGAAAAAUGUUAGUUUGAGGAAGAAGAUGAUAUAUAUGUGUUUCUAUAUGUGAUUUUGUUAUAUGAUGUUGAUUUGAAGAUUUGAGUGGGUAUAUGAUUUCUUGAGCAUGCUAUGAUGUUAAGUGAUGGUUUAGAUUGAUGAUUAGAAGUGAUGAAAUGAGUUUUGGGAUGAGUUGUUGUUGAGAAUUAUGAUGUUAUAUUCAAGUUAGAGAUAUUAUUAAGAUAUAUAAGUUUUAAAUACAAAUUGGAGAAUUUCGUAGGCCUACUGACCUACUGUGAUCGAUGGUUUGUCGAUGUCUAAUAGCUUUGAAAAUUUUAUAGCAAGUUUCUACAUGAGUAUUGAGUACCCUGGUAAAAUUUCAAGCUAUUUCAAUUUCGUUUGAUAUUUCUUUAAAAUGCAAAACCUAAACUGCACAUUACCACCGAGAAUUUCAGAGAACAGUGGAAAGAGUCAUUCAUUUCAGUAGCUUCCUGUGUGAUAUAGAUUUCCAAAUUUUUAUGGUAUUAACCUUAUUGUGUUAUCUAGAUAUCCACCAAAUUUGAGCCCAGUUUGACAACGUUUACUAUUUUCAAAAAUCAAAGUUUUCGAUUGCUCAAAACUGCCGAAUAUGGUAGAUCGUGGUAAAAACGUCAUAUCUCUCAAACCACUUGGAGUUUUCGCCUCUACUUUUUUUUAUAUGAAACUAGACUCGAAGAUCUUUCUUUUGGUAUGAGUCUCGAGUCCAGGAGAUGUCAGAGUCAGAACAGAUUAAAUUUUGAAGUUGAACCAGUGUAAAAACAGAGCAUGUUUUAAUGAUGUUUGAUUGUGAUUCUUAUGUGCCUUAUGUGAUUGUGUUGCCUAUGUGUUUGAAUUUUCACUAAAUUAUUUUAGUGAAUUUAAAUCUCUUGAUUUAAAUUUUAAUAUUUAAGGUUGGGACUAUUUAUUUUAAAUGAGGUCCGUUCUUUUAUUUAAUUUAUUGAUGGACUUUAAAAAUGAAAACAAAUUUUGGGAUUAAACCCUCAUUUUUAUAAUAUUUCAAGGCUUUUUGAGUAUGGAUUUUAAAUGGUUAAAAUGUUUUAUUUCAUCUCAAUGGAUUUUAAAAUGUUUUAUUAUUUAUAAAUGAAUAAUGGAAUUUCUUAUUUAUUU
This 2019-nucleotide long non-coding RNA is filed under the name Salvia miltiorrhiza (redroot sage). Its description in RNAcentral is "long non-coding RNA (SMIL_LNC003489)". The record is from RNAcentral. Lineage: Eukaryota; Viridiplantae; Streptophyta; Magnoliopsida; Lamiales; Lamiaceae.